This is a non-coding RNA of Schistosoma mansoni, 48 nucleotides long. The record is from Rfam. Lineage: Eukaryota; Metazoa; Platyhelminthes; Trematoda; Strigeidida; Schistosomatidae.
AUCCAGCUGACGAGUCCCAAAUAGGACUAAACGCGCGUCAAACUGGAU